CAAUAGCGUAUAUUUAAGUUGUUGCAGUUAAAAAGCUCGUAGUUGGAUUUCGGUUGAGAGCGGCCGGUCCGCCGUUUGGUGUGCACUGGCUGGUUUCAACUUCCUGUAGAGGACGCGCUUUGGGCUUAACGGUCUGAACGUGGAGUCUACGUGGUUACUUUGAAAAAAUUAGAGUGUUCAAAGCGGGCUUACGCUUGAAUACAUUAGCAUGGAAUAAUAAGAUAGGACUUUGGUGCUAUUUUGUUGGUUGAGCCUAAAGUAAUGAUUAAUAGGGAUAGUUGGGGGCACCUGUAUUGCGUUGUCAGAGGUGAAAUUCUUGGAUUUACGCAAGACAAACAGCUGCGAAAGCGUCUGCCAAGGAUGUUUUCAUUAA
RNAcentral lists this ribosomal RNA (373 nucleotides) under uncultured eukaryote. RNAcentral's name for it is "partial 18S ribosomal RNA". It matches the Rfam family "Eukaryotic small subunit ribosomal RNA", at positions 592 to 976 of the family's 1831-position model. The record is from RNAcentral.